Molecule: long non-coding RNA, 572 nt
Organism: Mauremys mutica (yellowpond turtle)
Lineage: Eukaryota; Metazoa; Chordata; Testudines; Geoemydidae
Exons: 4
Source: RefSeq, a predicted model, not a curated record
GUUGAUUCCGUCAAAAGUUCCAUAAAAAAACAGGCAGUUUGGUGGGUGGACUGCCCUACUUCCCAGGAUCCCCAGCGACCUGCCUGGCAAGAUACCCAGCUCCCAGGGAUCCCAGACUGCUGGCUGCCCAGUCAGUUCCAGAGAGAUGAACGUUUUACACACUGAUGAAGAGUCAGCAAAGUGAAAGAAAGUGAGCAAUGUUCCAGAGAGCUGGUACAGCAGUAGCAAAUGGCUGAUUUUCUGCAAAGGAGAUGAAGUUGGGGGACUAAGAAGAGGCAAAAGUUCGUAGAAUGGAGGGAUCAAGCAUGGAUAGAGAUAUAUGAGACCAAGAUCUGACAUAGUACAUGGCUAAGGAUGUAAUGAAGGCAUUAGAGCUACCACUGAGAUAUUUGUACAAUGGAGUUGACAUAGAAGAUGGCCUGUCUGGGGCACCUUGGUCAAGAUUCUGCAAACUGUGAAGGGUUGCCACCUUUGAAGUACAGAAAAACUGACUGCUGGCCACCUCUCAACCACCACCAACAACGAAAAGGGUCCUAGUGGCAACUAUAACUAGUUAUUACUAAAAUGUUUUA